GAUGAACGCUGGCGGCGUGCCUAAUACAUGCAAGUCGAGCGAACAGAUCAGGAGCUUUCUCCUCUGACGUUAUCGGCGGACGGGUGAUUAACACGUGGAUAACCUACCUAUAAGACUGGGAUAACUUCGGGAAACCGUAUCUAAUACCGGAUAAUAUAUUGAACCGCAUGGUUCCAGAGUUGAAUACGGUAUUUCGUUCGCUUAUAGCUUGAUACGCCCCGCAUUAGCUAGUGGGUUAGGUGACGGCUUAGCAAGGCAGCGAUUCGUAGACGACCUGAGAGGGUGAUCGGACAGACUGGCACUGAGACACGGUCCAGACACCUACGGGAGGAAGCAGCAGGGAAUCUUCCGCAAUGGGCGAGAGCCUGACGGAGCAACGUCGCGUGAGUGAUGAAGGUCUUAGGAUCGUAAAGCUCUGUAAUUAGGGAAGAACAAAUGUGUAAGUAACUGUGCACGUAUUGACGGUACCUAAUCAGAAAGCCACGGCUAACUACGUG
This 497-nucleotide ribosomal RNA is filed under the name uncultured bacterium. RNAcentral's name for it is "partial 16S ribosomal RNA". It matches the Rfam family "Bacterial small subunit ribosomal RNA", at positions 28 to 507 of the family's 1533-position model. The record is from RNAcentral.